RNAcentral lists this unclassified non-coding RNA (305 nucleotides) under plant metagenome. RNAcentral describes it as "partial contains 5.8S ribosomal RNA, internal transcribed spacer 2, and large subunit ribosomal RNA". The stretch from base 1 to 105 matches the Rfam family "5.8S ribosomal RNA", at positions 50 to 154 of the family's 154-position model. The record is from RNAcentral.
GAAAUGAGAUAAGUAAUGUGAAUUGCAGAAUUCAGUGAAUCAUCGAAUCUUUGAACGCACAUUGCGCCCGCCAGUAUUCUGGCGGGCAUGCCUGUUCGAGCGUCAUUUAAACCAUCAAGCCCCCGGCUUGUGUUGGGGACCUGCGGCUGCCCGCAGGCCCUGAAAAACAGUGGCGGGCUCGCUGUCACACCGAGCGUAGUAGCAUACAUUCUCGCUCAGGGCGUGCUGCGGGUUCCGGCCGUUAAACGACCUUCAUAACCCAAGGUUGACCUCGGAUCAGGUAGGAAGACCCGCUGAACUGAAGC